RNAcentral lists this ribosomal RNA (253 nucleotides) under uncultured bacterium. RNAcentral describes it as "partial 16S ribosomal RNA". It matches the Rfam family "Bacterial small subunit ribosomal RNA", at positions 524 to 776 of the family's 1533-position model. The record is from RNAcentral.
GACGGAGAGUGCAAACGUUGUUCGGAUUUACUGGGCGUAAAGGGCACGUAGGCGGCCCGGCGACUCGGUUGUGGAAUCCUCUCGCUUAACGGGAGAACUGCUGCCGAAAAUACCGGGCUCGAGGUCGUGAGGGGUGCGUGGAACUCCUGGUGGAGCGGUGAAAUGCGUAGAUACUAGGAGGAACGCCGGAGGCGAAAGCGACGCACUAGGACGAUCCUGACGCUGAGGUGCGAAAGCUAGGGGAGCAAACAGG